Non-coding RNA from Triticum aestivum (bread wheat), 134 nucleotides. Lineage: Eukaryota; Viridiplantae; Streptophyta; Magnoliopsida; Poales; Poaceae. The record is from Rfam.
UAUUUACUCCCCCGUCCUAAAAUUCUUGUCUUAAAUUUGUCUAAAUACGGAUAUAUCAAGUCAUGUUUUAGUAUUAGAUACAUCCGUAUCUAGACGAAUUCAAGACAAGAAUUUUGGAACGGGGGGAGUAUUUA